CAGUCGAACGGAGUGAAGAUGCUCGCAUCUGAACUUAGUGGCGGACGGGUGACUAACACGUGAGCAACCUGCCUUUCAGAGGGGGAUAACGUUUGGAAACGAACGCUAAUACCGCAUAAAAUAUCGGAGUCGCAUGGCACUGAUAUCAAAGGAGCAAUCCGCUGAAAGAUGGGCUCGCGUCCGAUUAGGCAGUUGGCGGGGUAACGGCCCACCAAACCGACAAUCGGUAGCCGGACUGAGAGGUUGAACGGCCACAUUGGGACUGAGACACGGCCCAGACUCCUACGGGAGGCAGCAGUGGGGGAUAUUGCACAAUGGGGGAAACCCUGAUGCAGCGAUGCCGCGUGAAUGAAGACGGCCUUCGGGUUGUAAAGUUCUGUCGCAGGGGACGAAAAUGACGGUACCCUGCAAGAAAGCUCCGGCUAACUACGUGCCAGCAGCCGCGGUAAUACGUAGGGAGCAAGCGUUGUCCGGAAUUACUGGGUGUAAAGGGAGCGUAGGCGGGAGGAUAAGUUGAAUGUGAAAUCUAUGGGCUCAACCCAUAGCUGCGUUCAAAACUGUUCUUCUUGAGUGAAGUAGAGGCAGGCGGAAUUCCUAGUGUAGCGGUGAAAUGCGUAGAUAUUAGGAGGAACACCAGUGGCGAAGGCGGCCUGCUGGGCUUUUACUGACGCUGAGGCUCGAAAGCGUGGGUAGCAAACAGGAUUAGAUACCCUGGUAGUCCACGCGGUAAACGAUGAUUACUAGGUGUGGGUGGACUGACCCCAUCCGUGCCGGAGUUAACACAAUAAGUAAUCCACCU
This 799-nucleotide ribosomal RNA is filed under the name uncultured bacterium. RNAcentral's name for it is "bacterial SSU rRNA". It matches the Rfam family "Bacterial small subunit ribosomal RNA", at positions 59 to 874 of the family's 1533-position model. The record is from RNAcentral.